AUCAUCAUUGUCAAGUAUUAUGUACUAUCUAUAAUUGUAUGUGCUAAACUUUUAUAUGAAUGCUAGCACAGUAGGUUUGUUUACAGCAGCAUCACCACAAACACGAGUAAUGCAUUGCACUAUGACCAUACAAUAGCUAUGACAUCAUUAAGCAGUAGGAAUUUUUCAGCUUCAUUAUAAUAUGUACGGGACAACUGUGUAUAUGUGGUUCAUCAUUGACUGAAAUAUGGUACAUGACUGCCUACAAACAUACACACACACACGCUGAGAAGUAUCAGAAUCUGCUGUCUGUAAGCGGGAGACCCAGGAAAGCCAAAGAGGCGGAAUAAUGGUCGCAGAAGAUGAUCACACCCUAAUCCUCAGAACUUGUGAAUGUGUUACCUUUUCUGACAAAAGGGACUUUGUAAAUGUGAUUAAAAAUAUUUACCUUGAGAUAAGAAGAUCAUCCUAGAUUAUCCAGAGGAUCCAGUCUAAUCACAUGAGUCUUUAGAAGUGGAGCACCCUUGACAGUUUCAGGAAACCAAAGGAGUGGCAGCUUGCGAAAGAUUUGGCCAGCUGUGCUGAUGUUGAAGAUGGAGGAAGGAAUAUGGAGGACCUCUAGAACUCUGAUAAGACAAGAACAUGAAUUCUCACUUGGAGUCUCCAAAAUUGAAUGCAUCCCUGCCAACAUCAAGAUUGUAGCACAGCAGGACUAACGUUGGGCUUCUGAUCCAUAAAAUUAUAAGAUUAUAAAUUUGGAUUGUUUAUGCCUCCAAA
Molecule: non-coding RNA, 756 nt
Organism: Macaca mulatta (Rhesus monkey)
Lineage: Eukaryota; Metazoa; Chordata; Mammalia; Primates; Cercopithecidae
Source: RefSeq, a predicted model, not a curated record